UCAGACCAGAAAACAUGGAGUGACAACUGUGUGUGUUUGAAUGGAAGUUGGGACGUAGACGAGAAGAACGAAAUCUACAUAUGUCGUUGUCCGGCUGAAAACAGCUCCCAAGACAUCAAAGAUCCUUUACCAAACCCGUGUUUGAAUGGAGGUACAUAUAGUUAUCCCAAAGAACCGGUAUGUCUGUGUCCGCCUGGAUAUAAUGGAACUACCUGUCAAGAUGCCGUGUCCGGGUGACGAAACUUUUAUUUCUUUUUCUGGAGGAAUCUUUUGUCGACAAACCUCUUGCGAUGAUAUUAUCUACGAAUGACAGAAAUGUUUUAAUUGCAAUGUAUUGCACAUUAUAUGAAAUAAACUAAAUAAGCAAAGCAUAUAAAUCGUUGCUGAAAUUCCUUUGUGAC
Molecule: long non-coding RNA, 401 nt
Organism: Mercenaria mercenaria
Lineage: Eukaryota; Metazoa; Mollusca; Bivalvia; Venerida; Veneridae
Exons: 3
Source: RefSeq, a predicted model, not a curated record